Molecule: ribosomal RNA, 478 nt
Filed under: uncultured bacterium
Lineage: Bacteria
Description: bacterial SSU rRNA
Rfam family: Bacterial small subunit ribosomal RNA
Source: RNAcentral
CAGGACGAACGCUGGCGGCGUGCUUAACACAUGCAAGUCGAACGAUGAAGCCCCUCGGGGCGGAUUAGUGGCGAACGGGUGAGUAACACGUGGGCAAUCUGCCCUGCACUUCGGGACAAGCCCUGGAAACGGGGUCUAAUACCGGAUACCCGCCUCCGCAGGCAUCUGCGGGGACGGAAAGCUCCGGCGGUGCAGGAUGAGCCCGCGGCCUAUCAGCUGGUUGGUGAGGUAACGGCUCACCAAGGCGACGACGGGUAGCCGGCCUGAGAGGGCGACCGGCCACACUGGGACUGAGACACGGCCCAGACUCCUACGGGAGGCAGCAGUGGGGAAUAUUGCACAAUGGGCGCAAGCCUGAUGCAGCCGACGCCGCGUGAGGGACGACGGCCUUCGGGUUGUAAACCUCUUUCAGCAGGGAAGAAGCGCAAGUGACGGUACCUGCAGAAGAAGCGCCGGCUAACUACGUGCCAGCCGCAGC